This 253-nucleotide ribosomal RNA is filed under the name uncultured bacterium. RNAcentral's name for it is "partial 16S ribosomal RNA". It matches the Rfam family "Bacterial small subunit ribosomal RNA", at positions 524 to 776 of the family's 1533-position model. The record is from RNAcentral.
UACGUAGGGGGCAAGCGUGGUCCGAAUUUAUUGGGCGUAAAGAGCGUGUAGGCGGCAAAGCAGGUCCGCUGUGAAAACUCGAGGCUCAACCUCGAGACGUCGGUGGAAACCGUUUGGCUAGAGUCCGGAAGAGGAGAGUGGAAUUCCCGGUGUAGCGGUGAAAUGCGCAGAUAUCGGGAAGAACACCCGUGGCGAAGGCGGCUCUCUGGGACGGUACUGACGCUGAGACGCGAAAGCGUGGGGAGCGAACAGG